Molecule: small RNA, 465 nt
Filed under: Histoplasma capsulatum var. duboisii H88
Lineage: Eukaryota; Fungi; Ascomycota; Eurotiomycetes; Onygenales; Ajellomycetaceae
Description: Histoplasma capsulatum H88 hypothetical RNA
Source: RNAcentral
GCAGGGGAUCCCACAGGGGCGUCCGCCAUCUCUUCGUCUUCGCGGGCCUUGCUACCACCAACCACGUCCUCGCCAGCCGGCUCACAUGCGUUGUCUUCGUUGGCAGAGACGCGCACUGGCAUCGUCCUGCUCGACCGCUACGAUACCCGGGGGAGUAUCCUCAUUAUUGGGGGCGAUCUUGGGCAAGGCACGCGCUCUGACGACGGGCAGUGGGAGCUAUCAAUGAUUGGCACUGGCAAAAGCCGUCCGAAUAACGGCUAACUAGCUUCUAGCAAGUUCGGGUCACGAAAAUUUACCAGCAGAACGCCCCGAGACGGCUCGAACGACGAGAACUACGACGACUGGAACCCAUAUCGUGCGACUGGUUGGUCUAGGCGUUAGGAUAGGUUUGGACAACUGCGUAGGACGAUCGAGAACAGUGCAGGGGAUCGAACGAAGGGGGUGCGGAUUUAGGAGGGGAGGAGG